This 406-nucleotide ribosomal RNA is filed under the name uncultured bacterium. RNAcentral's name for it is "partial 16S ribosomal RNA". It matches the Rfam family "Bacterial small subunit ribosomal RNA", at positions 30 to 526 of the family's 1533-position model. The record is from RNAcentral.
AUUGAACGCUGGCGGCAGGCCUAACACAUGCAAGUCGAACGAGUGGCGGACGGGUGAGUAAUGUCUGGGAAACUGCCUGAUGGAGGGGGAUAACUACUGGAAACGGUAGCUAAUACCGCAUACCAUCGGAUGUGCCCAGAUGGGGUUAGCUUGUUGGUGGGGUAACGGCUCACCAAGGCGACGAUCCCUAGCGGGUCUGAGAGGAUGACCAGCCAUACUGGAACUGAGAAACGGUCCAGCCUCCUACGGGAGGCAGAAGUGGGGAAGAUGGCACAAUGGGCGCAAGCCUGAUGCAGCGAUGCCGCGUGUAUGAAGAGGGCCUUCGGGUUGUAAAGUACUUUCAGCGGGGAGGCGUUACCCGCAGAAGAAGCACCGGCUAACUCCGUGCCAGCAGCCGCGGUAAUAC